This 253-nucleotide ribosomal RNA is filed under the name uncultured bacterium. Its description in RNAcentral is "partial 16S ribosomal RNA". It matches the Rfam family "Bacterial small subunit ribosomal RNA", at positions 524 to 776 of the family's 1533-position model. The record is from RNAcentral.
UACGUAGGGACCAAGCGUUGUUCGGAUUUACUGGGCGUAAAGGGCGCGUAGGCGGCAUGACAAGUCACUUGUGAAAUCUCCGGGCUUAACUCGGAACGGUCAGCUGAUACUGCUUUGCUAGAGUGCAGAAGGGGCAAUCGGAAUUCUUGGUGUAGCGGUGAAAUGCGUAGAUAUCAAGAGGAACACCUGAGGUGAAGACGGGUUGCUGGGCUGACACUGACGCUGAGGCGCGAAAGCUAGGGUAGCAAACGGG